CAGUCGCCGCGGUAAUACAGAGGGUGCGAGCGUUAAUCGGAUUUACUGGGCGUAAAGCGUGCGUAGGCGGCUUUUUAAGUCGGAUGUGAAAUCCCUGAGCUUAACUUAGGAAUUGCAUUCGAUACUGGGAAGCUAGAGUAUGGGAGAGGAUGGUAGAAUUCCAGGUGUAGCGGUGAAAUGCGUAGAGAUCUGGAGGAAUACCGAUGGCGAAGGCAGCCAUCUGGCCUAAUACUGACGCUGAGGUACGAAAGCAUGGGGAGCAAACAGGAUUAGAUACCCGCGUAGUCCCUGUCUCUUAUAA
Molecule: ribosomal RNA, 301 nt
Filed under: uncultured bacterium
Lineage: Bacteria
Description: partial 16S ribosomal RNA
Rfam family: Bacterial small subunit ribosomal RNA
Source: RNAcentral